CGAUCGGUGCUUAUCAGCACCACAUACUUGGUAAGCCAAAAGACAU
Molecule: non-coding RNA, 46 nt
Organism: Candidatus Peregrinibacteria bacterium CG2_30_44_17
Lineage: Bacteria; Candidatus Peregrinibacteriota
Source: Rfam